RNAcentral lists this ribosomal RNA (416 nucleotides) under uncultured bacterium. Its description in RNAcentral is "bacterial SSU rRNA". It matches the Rfam family "Bacterial small subunit ribosomal RNA", at positions 352 to 782 of the family's 1533-position model. The record is from RNAcentral.
CAGACGAGAAUAUUCCGCAAUGGACGAAAGUCUGACGGAGCGACGCCGCGUGAUGGAUGAAGUGCUUCGGUACGUAAACAUCUUUUAUCGGGGAAGAAAUUAUUGACGGUACCCGAUGAAUAAGGGGCUCCUAACUCUGUGCCAGCAGGAGCGGUAAUACAGAGGCCCCAAGCAUUACCCGGAAUCAUUGGGCGUAAAGGGUGUCGAGGCGGCCUUGUUAGUCUCCCGUCAAAUCCGCAGGCUUAACCUGUGGCUCGCGGGGGAAACGGCAAGGCUCGAGGUCGGGAGAGGUGCAUGGAACUCACGGUGGAGGGGUGAAAUCCGUUGAUAUCGUGGGGAACACCAAAGGCGAAGGCAGUGCACUGGCCCGAAUCUGACGCUCACACACGAAAGCCAGGGGAGCGAACGGGAUUAGA